GCCAGCAUGGUGUAGUGGUUUGCACACUGGACUACAACCCUGAAGACCAGGGUUCAAAUUCCUGAUUGGUCA
Molecule: non-coding RNA, 72 nt
Organism: Phrynosoma platyrhinos (Desert horned lizard)
Lineage: Eukaryota; Metazoa; Chordata; Lepidosauria; Squamata; Phrynosomatidae
Source: the annotation of a GenBank genome assembly